GGAGAGGUGGCAGAGUGGUCGAUUGCGGCAGACUCGAAAUCUGUUGAUGGGUCACACCAUCCGGGGGUUCGAAUCCCUCCCUCUCCGCCA
RNAcentral lists this transfer RNA (90 nucleotides) under Pseudomonadota bacterium. RNAcentral describes it as "tRNA-Ser". It matches the Rfam family "tRNA". Rfam says of the family: Transfer RNA (tRNA) molecules are approximately 80 nucleotides in length. Their secondary structure includes four short double-helical elements and three loops (D, anti-codon, and T loops). Further hydrogen bonds mediate the characteristic L-shaped molecular structure. tRNAs have two regions of fundamental functional importance: the anti-codon, which is responsible for specific mRNA codon recognition, and the 3' end, to which the tRNAs corresponding amino acid is attached (by aminoacyl-tRNA synthetases). tRNAs cope with the degeneracy of the genetic code in two manners: having more than one tRNA (with a specific anti-codon) for a particular amino acid; and 'wobble' base-pairing, i.e. permitting non-standard base-pairing at the 3rd anti-codon position. RNAcentral also lists the same sequence under 1 other name. Lineage: Bacteria; Pseudomonadati; Pseudomonadota. The record is from RNAcentral.